CGUCUGGAAAGAAUUUCGGUUGGGGAUGGGCUCRCGGCCUAUCAGCUUGUUGGUGAGGUAAUGGCUCACCAAGGCGUCRACGGGUAGCCGGCUUGAGAGGGUGACCGGCCACACUGGGACUGAGACACGGCCCAGACUCCUACGGGAGGCAGCAGUGGGGAAUAUUGCACAAUGGGCGCAAGCCUGAUGCAGCAACGCCGCGUGAGGGAUGACGGCCUUCGGGUUGUAAACCUCUUUUAGCAGGGAAGAAGCGAAAGUGACGGUACCUGCAGAAAAAGCGCCGGCUAACUACGUGCCAGCAGCCGCGGUAAUACGUAGGGCGCAAGCGUUAUCCGGAAUUAUUGGGCGUAAAGAGCUCGUAGSCGGUUUGUCGCGUMUKCUGUGAAAUCCCGAGGCUCAACCUCGGGCCUGCAGUGGGUACGGGCAGACUAGAGUGCGGUAGGGGAGAUUGGAAUUCCUGGUGUAGCGGUGGAAUGCGCAGAUAUCAGGAGGAACACCGAUG
RNAcentral lists this ribosomal RNA (502 nucleotides) under Microbacterium sp. DW129. RNAcentral's name for it is "bacterial SSU rRNA". It matches the Rfam family "Bacterial small subunit ribosomal RNA", at positions 196 to 714 of the family's 1533-position model. The record is from RNAcentral. Lineage: Bacteria; Bacillati; Actinomycetota; Actinomycetes; Micrococcales; Microbacteriaceae.